AACCCUGCGGGCGGCAACAUCAACGCUCUGUGUGCAGUUGAAUAGCCUUCAUUAUGCUAUUAGCCAACUGAAUAAAUUGGAGGACAGCAUUUGGGCGCGAUGGACAAGGAAAAAGCAUCAUGAUAAAUUGACAAAGAACCCUGCGGAGGAAACCGCAAAAGGUUUCCAGAAGAAGGACUCAUUCGAUGGAAGCAGAAAGGAUAUCAAUGCUGCAAUUGACAGAAUGUGUGAAUUUACUGGAACAAAAAUCAUUUUCUGUGACUUGAGAGAACCAUUCAUUGAGAAUCUCUAUAAACCCAGUGUUUCACAGUCUAGGUUGGAAUCAGUAAUGGAGCCACUCGAUAUGGUUCUUAAUCAACUUUGUGAUGUGAUAAUGGAGCCACUGCGGGAUCGUGUUGUAACAGGACUGCUUCAAGCAUCACUGGAUGGCCUAGUCAGAGUUAUAUUAGAUGGAGGACCAUCACGUGUAUUCUCCCUGGGUGAUGCUAAGCUAUUGGAGGAGGAUCUAGAGAUCUUGAAGGAAUUCUUCAUUUCGGGUGGGGAUGGGCUUCCUCGUGGAGUAGUCGAAAAUCAAGUUGCACGUGUUCGGCAGGUGAUAAAGUUGCAAGGUUAUGAGACUAGGGAAAUAAUAGAAGACCUGAGAUCUGCUAGUGAGUUAGAAAUGCAGGGCGGAAGGGGUAAAUUAGGUGCUGAUACCAAGACCCUUCUUAGGAUCCUGUGUCAUCGAGGAGAGUCAGAGGCCUCUCAGUUUGUCAAGAAGCAAUUCAAAAUCCCCAAAUCUGGAGCUUAGUGUACUUGUUGUGCCAUUGAUGAGAUUGUAACAUAAUACACUAUCGAAACUUCAUUUUUAAGGAUCUCAUUUGUCAAUGAGACAGUCUGCUGCACAGAUUUUUUUUCUUCUUCAGGGAAUGUACUUAAAACGUAGUUUUUUGUUUACUAGUUAUAUGUAUAUGUUUAGUGUGCAGUCUUAAACCUAUUUGGAAGGCAUGUAUACACAAUUUCUGCUGUCA
Molecule: unclassified non-coding RNA, 1010 nt
Filed under: Hevea brasiliensis (rubber tree)
Lineage: Eukaryota; Viridiplantae; Streptophyta; Magnoliopsida; Malpighiales; Euphorbiaceae
Source: RNAcentral